AGUGUGCUAGCCAUUUGAAAAAACAAAAAAAAGAAAUACACAAACAUGACCAAAAAAAUGACAUAAAUAGCCAUGUCUUAAUUAAUAUGUAUGAACAGAAAAAAAAAAUAAUAAAUAAACAAUUUGUUGCACAUAAAAAUGAAAUAUUGUUAUUUUUUCUUUUUUAACACGAUUUAUCUCUUCCUUAUCUAAUCAAAUACAUUAUGAAUAGUUUAAUAUUUAUAAAAAAAAAAAAAAAAUUACCAAAACGUUUUAACAAAUUAUAUAACAUAUAUAUAUAUAUAUAUAUAUACGUAUAUGUAUAUAAUAUAAUAGCCAUAUUUUUUUUUUUUUUUUUUUUGACUUAAGUUAAUAUACCAAUGAAAAAACUUUACGGGUCAAAAAACGAUGAUUCUAUGCACUAUGAUAAAGAAAAAAUAAUAAACGAAAUGGGUGAUAAUAAAGUUCUUAUAUUACCAACUUGUUCAAAUACAUAUGUAGACAAUUCUUCUCUUAGAUUUCAAAGCAUAAAACCUUCCUAUUUUAUAACUAACAACUUGAACAAUGCAUAUUUUAAUGACGAAAAUAAACACAUAACGUUUGAAAAGGAACAUGAUGAAAAAAAAAAUAUGAUGAAAAAAAAGUUUUUUUAUGACUUGUCAGAAGAACAAAGAGUAGAAGUAGAAAAAUUAAAAACCCAAAAAAUAAUACAAAAUGAAAUGUAUUUAAAAAGACAAAAGGUUUUAAAAUAUGUUAUACAAUUUUUUUUAAGUGAUCUGUUAAAAGAUAAACCAGAAAAUGUGUAUGAAUAUGCAGCUGAAUAUUUUACUCGUCCGAAUUUGAAGCAGCAGGUUGUACAAAAUUUGAAAAAUAUGCUUACUAAGUCAUAAAAAAAUGAAAAAUAUUAUUUUGAUUGAUGUUCGCCAUAAUGUUAAAAAAAAGGUAUUGUCAUACAAAACAAAAUUAUCCCCAUUCUCCACAUUAUCACCACAAACUUUUUUUACAACCACAAUUUAAUUAUGCUAUUAAUAAACACUCACGCUUUUAAUAUAUCUUUUUUUUU
This 1042-nucleotide long non-coding RNA is filed under the name Piliocolobus tephrosceles (Ugandan red Colobus). RNAcentral describes it as "lncRNA (ENSPTEG00000007135.1)". Lineage: Eukaryota; Metazoa; Chordata; Mammalia; Primates; Cercopithecidae. The record is from RNAcentral.